RNAcentral lists this ribosomal RNA (433 nucleotides) under uncultured bacterium. RNAcentral's name for it is "partial 16S ribosomal RNA". It matches the Rfam family "Bacterial small subunit ribosomal RNA", at positions 29 to 507 of the family's 1533-position model. The record is from RNAcentral.
AACGAACGCUGGCGGCAUGCCUAACACAUGCAAGUCGAACGAGACCUUCGGGUCUAGUGUCGCACGGGUGCGUAACGCGUGGGAACCUGCCCUUAGGCUCGGAAUAACUCCCCGAAAGGGGUGCUAAUACCGGAUAAUUUCUUCGGACCAAAGAUUUAUCGCCUUUGGGUGGGCCCGCGUUGGAUUAGCUAGUUGGUAGGGUAAAAGCCUACCAAGGCGACGAUCCAUAGCUGGUCUGAGAGGAUGAUCAGCCACACUGGGACUGGGACACGACCCAGACUCCUACGAGAGGCAGCAGUGGGGAAUAUUGGACAAUGGGCGAGAGCCUGAUCCAGCAAUGCCGCGUGAGUGAUGAAGGCCUUAGAGUUGUAAAGCUCUUUUACCCGGGAUGAUAAUGACAGUACCGGGAGAAUAAGCACCGGCUAACUACGUG